Molecule: small RNA, 118 nt
Filed under: Flavobacterium tiangeerense
Lineage: Bacteria; Pseudomonadati; Bacteroidota; Flavobacteriia; Flavobacteriales; Flavobacteriaceae
Description: Flavo-1 RNA
Rfam family: Flavo-1 RNA
Source: RNAcentral
GCCAAGCCCCGCAUGAAGGAUGGAAGCGGCAUCCUUUUUAUACCUUUUAGGCUACUAGCCUUUAAGAGGCUAGUAGCCUAAAAGGUAUAAAAAGAUAUAGCGAACAGCCUGACGCAGC